GGAAGUAAAGGUCGUAACAAGGUCUCCGUUGGUGAACCAGCGGAGGGAUCAUUACAGAGUUGCAAAACUCCCAAACCAUUGUGAACGUUACCUAUCCCGUUGCUUCGGCGGGCGGCCCGGGCCCCGCGCCCGGCGCCCCCCGGCCCCCCGUGGGCGCCCGCCGGAGGUAAACCAAACCCUUGAAUUGCAUGGCCUCUCUGAGUCUUCUGUACUGAAUAAGUCAAAACUUUCAACAACGGAUCUCUUGGUUCUG
Molecule: unclassified non-coding RNA, 253 nt
Filed under: plant metagenome
Description: partial contains small subunit ribosomal RNA, internal transcribed spacer 1, and 5.8S ribosomal RNA
Rfam family: Eukaryotic small subunit ribosomal RNA (bases 1-54)
Source: RNAcentral